Molecule: ribosomal RNA, 301 nt
Filed under: uncultured bacterium
Lineage: Bacteria
Description: partial 16S ribosomal RNA
Rfam family: Bacterial small subunit ribosomal RNA
Source: RNAcentral
CAGCCGCCGCGGGAAUACGUAGGGUGCAAGCGUUAAUCGGAAUUACUGGGCGUAAAGCGUGCGCAGGCGGUUUCGUAAGACAGAUGUGAAAUCCCCGGGCUUAACCUGGGAACUGCAUUUGUGACUGCGAGGCUAGAGUGUGUCAGAGGGGGGUGGAAUUCCACGUGUAGCAGUGAAAUGCGUAGAUAUGUGGAGGAACACCGAUGGCGAAGGCAGCCCCCUGGGAUAACACUGACGCUCAUGCACGAAAGCGUGGGGAGCAAACAGGAUUAGAUACCCCUGUAGUCCCUGUCUCUUAUAA